RNAcentral lists this unclassified non-coding RNA (316 nucleotides) under Helicobacter rodentium. RNAcentral's name for it is "partial tmRNA". The stretch from base 20 to 293 matches the Rfam family "transfer-messenger RNA", at positions 45 to 320 of the family's 374-position model. From Rfam's summary of the family: Bacterial tmRNA, also known as 10Sa RNA or SsrA, is named for its dual tRNA and mRNA-like properties. Lineage: Bacteria; Pseudomonadati; Campylobacterota; Epsilonproteobacteria; Campylobacterales; Helicobacteraceae. The record is from RNAcentral.
GAUUUGAAUUUCUUUAGUUGCAUACCGACUUGUGCUAAGUCGUAAAACUGGUUCAUAAAUAUAAACGCAAACAACGCGAAUUACGCUCCUGCUUACGCUAAAGUUGCGUAAGUUUAAUUAGCUUUUGGAGCUGUUCUUAGUUAGGAUUCUAGCUACUCUCUUAAGAACAUCAUUCUAGCUAGAUGCGCUUUGUGCUACCAAACGCAAGGUUAAGAUUUAGGUUGCCUUUGUUAAAGUGUUUUUGGAAGUUCUCUUUAAUAAAGAAAGAUUUAAAAUCCCAGCAAGUAUGUAAAUCAAUUAUUGCAGAUUUGAGUUU